AGGGUGCAGGGCGGAUGCCUUGGCACUAGGAGCCGAUGAAGGACGUGAUAAGCUGCGAUAAGCUUCGGGGAGUUGCACGUAAACUUUGAUCCGAAGAUUUCCGAAUGAGGAAACUCACUUAGAGUAAUGUCUAAGUAUCAUUAAGUGAAUACAUAGCUUAAUGAGGGGAACUCAGGGAACUGAAACAUCUAAGUACCUGAAGGAAGAGAAAGAAAUUCGAUUCCGUAAGUAGCGGCGAGCGAACGCGGAUUAGCCCAAACCAAUAAAGUUUUCUUUAUUGGGGUUGCGGACAUAUCAUAACGAAGAGGUAUCGUAAUUGAAGAGGUUUGGAAAGACCCACCACAGAAGGUAAUAGUCCUGUAUGUUAAACGAGAAGACUUUAGAUAUGAUCCAGAGUACCACGGGACACGUGAAACCCUGUGGGAAGCAGGAGGGACCACCCUCCAAGGCUAAAUACUACCUAGUGACCGAUAGCGUAUAGUACCGUGAGGGAAAGGUGAAAAGAACCCCGGGAGGGGAGUGAAAUAGAACCUGAAACCCUGCACUUACAAGCUGUGGAAGCACAUUUCUUGUGUGACCGCGUACUUUUUGUAGAACGGGCCAACGAGUUACGUUAAGUAGCAAGGUUAAGCACUUAAGGUGCGGAGCCGUAGCGAAAGCGAGUUUUAACUGAGCGUUCAGUUACUUGACGUAGACCCGAAACCGGGCGACCUACCCAUGAGCAGGAUGAAGCGAAAGUAAAAUUUCGUGGAGGUCCGAACCCACGAGCGUUGAAAAGCUCGGGGAUGACUUGUGGGUAGCGGUGAAAUUCCAAUCGAGCCCGGAGAUAGCUGGUUCUCCCCGAAAUAGCUUUAGGGCUAGCCUCAAGGUGAGAGAUACGGAGGUAGAGCACUGAAUGUCCUAGGGGGUAUUGCACCUACCGAAGACUAUCAAACUCCGAAUGCCGUCAUCUUAUACUUGGGAGUCAGACUGUGGGUGAUAAGAUUCAUAGUCGAAAGGGCAACAGCCCAGAUCGUCAGCUAAGGUCCCUAAAUGUAAGUUAAGUGGUAAAGGAUGUGGGAUUGCACAGACAACCAGGAUGUUGGCUUAGAAGCAGCCACUCAUUCAAAGAGUGCGUAAUAGCUCACUGGUCGAGUGAUCCUGCGCCGAAGAUUUCCGGGGCUAAAACUUACUACCGAAGCUACGGCAUCAGUAAUGAUGGGUAGGGGAGCUUCCCAUACGGGUUGAAGCAUGACCGUAAGGACAUGUGGACAGUAUGGGAGUGAGAAUGUUGGCAUGAGUAGCGAGAUGUGGGUGAGAAUCCCACAGGCCGUAAACCCAAGGUUUCCAGGGGAAGGUUCGUCCGCCCUGGGUUAGUCGGGACCUAAGCUGAGGCCGAAAGGCGUAGGUGAUGGACAACAGGUUGAUAUUCCUGUACUACCGAUAACCGUUUGAGAGAAGGGAUGACACAGUAGGAUAAGCUAAGCACACUGUUGGUUAUGUGUGCCCAAGCAUUGAGGCAGUCAAAGUAGGCAAAUCCGCUUUGAUAAUGCUGGGAUGUGAUGGGGAGCGAAAUUUAGUAGCGAAGUAGCUGAUUUCACACUGUCAAGAAAAGUCUCUAUCGAGGUUAAAGGUACCCGUACCGCAAACCGACACAGGUGGGUGAGGAGAGUAUCCUAAGGCCAGCGAGAGAACUGUUGUUAAGGAACUCGGCAAAAUGACCCCGUAACUUAGGGAUAAGGGGUGCCACCAUCAGGUGGCCGCAGAGAAUAGGCCCAAGCGACUGUUUACCAAAAACAUAGGUUUCUGCUAAGUCGCAAGACGAUGUAUAGGAGCUGACGCCUGCCCGGUGCUGGAAGGUUAAGGGGAUCUGUUAGAGCAAUCGAAGCAGUGAACUUAAGCCCCAGUAAACGGCGGCCGUAACUAUAACGGUCCUAAGGUAGCGAAAUUCCUUGUCGGGUAAGUUCCGACCCGCACGAAAGGCGUAACGAUUUGGGCACUGUCUCAACAACAGACUCGGUGAAAUUGUAAUUCCGGUGAAGAUGCCGGAUACCUGCGACAGGACGGAAAGACCCCAUGGAGCUUUACUGUAGCUUGACAUUGGGUCUUGGUACUACAUGUACAGGAUAGGUGGGAGGCUUUGAAACCAGGACGCCAGUUUUGGCGGAGCCAUCCUUGGGAUACCACCCUUGUAGUACUGGGACUCUAACCAUAGGCCAUGAAUCUGGUCUUGGGACACUGUCAGGUGGGCAGUUUGACUGGGGCGGUCGCCUCCCAAAAGGUAACGGAGGCGCUCAAAGGUUCUCUCAGUACGGUCGGAAAUCGUACGUAGAGUGUAAAGGCAAAAGAGAGCUUGAUUGCAAGACAUACAGGUCGAGCAAGGAUGAAAAUCGGACUUAGUGAUCCGGUGGUUCUGCGUGGAAGGGCCAUCGCUCAACGGAUAAAAGCUACCCUGGGGAUAACAGGCUUAUCUCCCCCAAGAGUCCACAUCGACGGGGAGGUUUGGCACCUCGAUGUCGGCUCAUCACAUCCUGGGGCUGUAGUAGGUCCCAAGGGUUGGGCUGUUCGCCCAUUAAAGUGGUACGCGAGCUGGGUUCAGAACGUCGUGAGACAGUUCGGUCCCUAUCCGUCGCAGGCGUAGGAAAUUUGAGAAGACCUGUCCUUAGUACGAGAGGACCGGGAUGGACGUACCUCUGGUGUACCAGUUGUCCUGCCAAGGGCAUGGCUGGGUAGCUAUGUACGGAAUGGAUAAGCGCUGAAAGCAUCUAAGCGCGAAGCCAACUUCAAGAUAAGAUUUCCCACCGCAAGGGUAAGACCCCAGAAAGACUAUCUGGUUGAUAGGUCGAAGGUGUAAGUGCAGCAAUGUAUUUAGCUUAUCGAUACUAAUAGGUCGAGGACUUGACC
RNAcentral lists this ribosomal RNA (2883 nucleotides) under Clostridioides difficile. RNAcentral's name for it is "bacterial LSU rRNA". It matches the Rfam family "Bacterial large subunit ribosomal RNA". RNAcentral also lists the same sequence under 1 other name. The record is from RNAcentral. Lineage: Bacteria; Bacillati; Bacillota; Clostridia; Peptostreptococcales; Peptostreptococcaceae.